Molecule: long non-coding RNA, 686 nt
Organism: Cydia fagiglandana
Lineage: Eukaryota; Metazoa; Arthropoda; Insecta; Lepidoptera; Tortricidae
Exons: 3
Source: RefSeq, a predicted model, not a curated record
UUAAUAUGUCAGUUGUUAGUAUCAAUGUUGUCAACAGUGUCGGUUUAUUUUCGUAUUUAUUGCAUUGUUUAAAUUUAUCGGCAGUAAACUGUUGUUAUUGUGGCAAACGAUGAACAGGACGAUCCGAAGUGGCACCCGCCAGGUUAUUUGUAAAGUUUACAGGCGUUGACUGGCAGAAUUUGAAGCCAAAACCUUGUUGUCGGAACUGGACAAUGUUUACCAAAGAACGGCAAAGAUGACAGGUAAAUCUGUUACUACUGUAAGGAGAAUUGUAUUAGAAGGUGACCUUAACAAUGCUGUGUUUGCAACGCCUGGAAAACGCCGGAAGGGGCGUCCAAAAAAGGAACUGGACAAUUUCGACCUGGUGCCAUUAGGCAAAAGGUGCCAACUCUAAGAAGUCCGCUUCCAAUAGUGAAAGAAAACCUGGGCUUUGAUGGUAGCCGGGAACACCUGAGAAAAGUACUUCAUGCUCUUGGGUUCAGAUCUUGCUGCAUCACGAUGACGCCUCUUCACAUACGCCCCUCAGAACAAAGGCGUUUAUUGAGAAAGCUGGGAUAGAAACCUUACCAUAUCCACCCUGCAGUCAUGGCUUAGCUCCCUGCAAUUUCUUAUUGUUCCCGAUGGUGAAAGAAAAAAUAAAAGGGAAGUUUUUUUCGAGUGCUGAAGAAGCCGUGGCUGCAUAUGAA